AGUAUAGCGCCGGAUGAACGGAUUAUAUUGAUGUUAUAAAUUAUAAGGGAUACUCCUUCUAUACUU
This 66-nucleotide transfer RNA is filed under the name Macrotritopus defilippi. RNAcentral describes it as "tRNA-Ile". Lineage: Eukaryota; Metazoa; Mollusca; Cephalopoda; Octopoda; Octopodidae. The record is from RNAcentral.